Long non-coding RNA from Myotis myotis, 1233 nucleotides. RefSeq lists it as uncharacterized. The record is from RefSeq and is a predicted model, not a curated record. The transcript is spliced from 3 exons. NCBI's taxonomy places the organism in Eukaryota, Metazoa, Chordata, Mammalia, Chiroptera, Vespertilionidae.
GGGACCCUAUUCUUUCACUGCUGGGAACAGUGCUUGGCACACAGCAGGGGCUUACUGCUUCGUUGCUGAAGGAAUGGAUGUCAAGCCCCACGCUGAGCACCCCACAUGCAAGAUCUUAUUCAGCCCCCACCACAGCCUCACUUCAUGGGAGAGGAUAUGCCUGUCCCACAACAGGGCCAUGUGCUCGUGCAGUUUGCACAUAGUAAACACUCAGGAAAUGGAAGCUGUCCCUUGCCAGGAAGGCCCUUGGAGGCCUCUGAAGUCAUCAUGUACAAAUCAACCAGAGUGUUUAUUUUGCACACACCCAGAGUGGGUGGACUUACACAACUCGAAGGUCACUAACGCCGUCCGACUGACUGUCUGUGGGGUAAGCGCCUACUGUGUGCCAGGGAUCAAACCACUCCACUCUGGAGAGGUUUAAUUCAAGUGAGUCCAAAUGUGAGGCUCUGGUAAAGCUGGAGCUUUAAGUGCUGAUGUUCCCUAAUGCAGGGCAGAUGGGGGUCAUGUCCAUGGAAAGGAGCCCACGGUGAGGUCAGCCUAGGCUGAGCCUGUCCCACCAAUGACAGCAUCCAGCUCCUGCCCUUCCUAAGAACCUGCAAUGCCUCUUCACUGCACCAGGACAAAACUCAACCUGGCACACAAAGGCCUUUCCAACCCCUUCCCACCACACGGCCUUCCCUGCCCAUGGAAGGGACUAGUGUCUUCUAAGUGUUUGCUGGUUGCUGGGGGUUCUCAGUGCUCAAGACAGCUGCAUCCCCACCCUCUUGGAUGAGCAACUUUACGGCAGCUGAGACCUCCCAGGUGCCAGCCCUGCGCUGACAGCUUGACAUGCCCAUCUCAUUGAAUCAAUGCCCAGCCCCACGAAGCAGGGGCCAUGAUGGCUGGAUUUCCAUUCGACAGAUAAGGACACUGAGGCUCCAUCGGGAGAGGUGAUUUGCCCAGUGACUCACGGUUGGGGAUGGAAGUGCAACCCAGAUGCAUCUGACUACAAAGCAAAGAAGACAUCACAAUAAUGUGUGGUGUGCCAGAUUGCUUACAAGAUACUACCAUGGAUGAGAAAGGAUUCCUACUCAGUAAUCCAGGCACCAAGUUUACUGUCCCAGAAGCGGAGGUGAGAGGUGCUCAAAUCUGCAGGUCUUCUGAACCUUCUAAAGGUACUAUGUCCAUAAAAAAAAAAAUACCCAGGGAGAGAUCAACCAAAGGACUUGUAUGCAUGCAUAUAAGCAUAACCAA